This 360-nucleotide long non-coding RNA is filed under the name Gossypium barbadense (sea-island cotton). RNAcentral's name for it is "long non-coding RNA (GBAR_LNC008635)". The record is from RNAcentral. Lineage: Eukaryota; Viridiplantae; Streptophyta; Magnoliopsida; Malvales; Malvaceae.
GAUGAUAAAUGGGAUAAGCUUCCCAAUACGGUGCUAGGCGGGGAUGAUUGUGGUUAUGUUAUUAUACUUAAUACUAAUUUUCUAAUUUAAGUUCAUCAACAGGAAUCGUCACUUCACACGACUCCUGCAAAAGACGAUCUUUCUGACUGUGCAAAGAAAGGCAUUGCAGGUUAGCCACAUAGAAACUAGAACAGCUUUUCUGAAAAUUUAUAUACUUUUACUCAAGUUAUUAAUUGAUAUCUUGUUGUUUUCUUACCAUUGGAUCUCUGAAAUAAUUAGUGAAACCGCGAAGAGGGGAUGCCCUUCUCUUCUUCAGUCUCCACCCUAAUGCUAUCCCCGAUCCAAGCAGUCUUCACGCCG